Long non-coding RNA from Zingiber officinale, 3629 nucleotides. RefSeq lists it as uncharacterized. NCBI's taxonomy places the organism in Eukaryota, Viridiplantae, Streptophyta, Magnoliopsida, Zingiberales, Zingiberaceae. The transcript has 9 exons. The record is from RefSeq and is a predicted model, not a curated record.
UUCACUCUUGCUCUUGUUCGCAUUCCUAUUCAUUUACUUCUCCAUCGGCUCUCGCGGACUCUCCUUUCGUUGAUGUUGCCCAAUCCCUCGCAUAGCUCGCCUCCCUGUUCUCAUGGCCCUCGAUUACACCCGUUGUUGCUCCGGAUUGCGAGCUCAAGCGUAGGGUUUAGGUUUUCAAUCUGUCCGCUUCCUCCAUGUUUUUUUUGUCCACGUCUUUGCCUUCUUCGGCGCCUGUAGCGGCGCCAGCGAUCAAGAUUUGCUUCAACACUCAGUGCAAGGAGUUUACAGAGGAUCAUAUAACGCCUUGUAGGAGGGGCUAGCGCCUCCGCUCAGGAGCGAUCGCCGAGCUCUGCACCACUGCUCAUCUGCGUUUGAGCAAGGAAUCUUCUGCGAGAUGUUUCAUUCCAAUGAUUCUGGUUGGAGGAACUGUGAGACAGCAAGAGAGUACAUUGUUGGUGUAUCACAUCAGCUCAGUCUUAUGGUUUUCUUGAUGCGGGGGAAUUAAGUGCAUUCCAUGCCCUAGGAAAUCUCUUGCAACGGCACCAAAUCAAAUAUCAUCUUCUCUGAUGUUUAUGCAACAACAUGUGCCUGAAAGGAGAGAUUCACUUGCUAAAUCCUGGAGAUCAAUGGCUAAUCCAUUGUCUGGACAGUGGCGUCAAGUUUCGCAUAUGUGGAAUAUGACAAUGCAGUCUGAUUUGCAACAAAGAUUAUCACAUGAAUUUGAUAGACCUAGUAGAUUGAGAAAUUGGUACCUGGAGGUCUCCAUUCUAUUGCAACACACGAAAAGAAAUUUCAGCCAGAGAGAAAAUUUUCUACCGACCUUGACAAAUUUCUUACUGGAGAAAAUCAUCCUAUGUCUACAAGGAAAUCAUAAAGGAUCCGAUGAAGCUUUCGCUACUCCAUUAUCAAAGCAGUUUUACCCACAGUGUGUGAAUGAAACUGAACUGCAAUCUCAAAUGCGCAAUGGAGAACUCGAGUUGAUGUUUAUCCACGGACACAAUUGCUUCCUCGAUAGUGGCCUAGGAUAACAAAUCAAGAGCUACAACAAAUAUCUGGCGAGUCUCCUAUUUUAUGUGUUUUGUCUACAAUCCUCCAUCACUCCCUUGUUUGAAAAGAUGUUAAGUGCUAGUGAUGCUGGGCAGAUUGGACGACUUGUGCUUCCAAAGAAAUGUGCAGAGCCUGAAGAACUUCCUGUAAAAGUUCAGAAUGCAAGUGGAAAAGAUUGAAUAUUCCAAUUUCAAUUUUGGCCUAACAACAGUAGGAUGUAUGUUUUGGAGGGCGUUAUACCUUGUAUUCAGGCAAUGCAACUGCAAGCAGACACAGGAACUAAAGAAGCAAGUGUAUUUACUACUGACAUUGCUUUUGAUGAUCUCUUGCACAAAGAAAUUUUCCCCUCAUGUUGCUCACCUGCUUCUGCAUUCUUCGUUUCGGACGAUACAUGGUGUUUUGGAUUUCAGAUCCUUUUCCUGAAUUACUUAUUUACGUCUCCAGUAGUAUAUACUUUGAGUUUCUUGGUUCUUUCCAUAUGUCUGGAAACACCCGCUGGGCCAGAACUUUUAGAUGUGUUUCGCCUGACAAUGAGAUAAUUGGAAUUGAUUUAGGAACCACAAAUUCUUGUAUUUCUAUUAUGGAAGGAAAGGUUAGUCCCUUUGUUACUAUUAUUUUCAGUUCAUCUGAAAAUUAAAUUAUUUAACAUGCUGUGCAGAAUGUUAAAAUUAUAGAAAAUUAAGAAGGAGCACGUACUACUCCUUCAUUUAUAGCUUUCACCCACAAUGGUGAAGUGCUUGUUGGAGCUCUAGCAUAGCAUAUGUCACUCACGAAUCUUACGAACCUAAUUUUUGCAACCAAGCAACUGAUAAUCUGUUACAUCGAUGAUCCUCAAAUGCAGAAAGAAAUGAAUAUUGUUCCUUUUAAAACUGUCAAAGCACCUAACGGGGAUGCAUGGGUUGAAGCCCAUGGUCAACAAUUUUUUCCUAAAUUGGUGCAUUUAUUAAGAUGAAGGAAAUUGCUGAGUCCUACCUUGGAAAAUCUAUUUCGAAGGUAGUGAUUGCAAUUUCUGUAUAUUUCUACAAAGGAUGCCGGGAGGAUUGUUGAUCUUGAUGUGCAAACAAUUAUCAAUGAACCAACAACAACAACACUUGCGUUUGUAGCUAGGAGGAUUGCUUGUUUUGACGCGCAAAUAAUUAUUAAUGAACACAAUAAUCAAACAUUCUUUGUUGUUCAAACCGAACAAUAAAGAAUGUUUGGUUAUUGUGUUCAUUGAUAAUUGUUUGCACGUCAAGACAAGCAAUCCUAGCUACAAACGCAAGUGUUGCGGUUGUUGGUUCAUUGAUAAUUGUUUGCACAUCAAGAUCAACAAUCCUCCCGACAUCCUUUGUAGAAAUAUCCAGAAAUUGCAAUCACUACCUUCGAAAUAGAUUUUCUAAGGUAGGACUCAAUAAUUUUCUUUAUCUUAAUAAAUGCACAAAUCUGGGAGAAAACUAUUGACCAUGGACUUUAACCCAUGCAUCCCUGUUAGAUGCUUUGACAGUUUUAAAAGGAACAAUAUUCAUUUCUUUUUGCAUUUGAGAAUCAUCGAUGUGACGGAUUAUCAGUUGCUUGGUUGCAAAAAUUGUGUUCGUAAGAUUCGUGAGUGCCAUAUGCUGUACUAGGGUUCCAGCAAGUACUUCACCAUUGUGGCUGAAAGCUAUAAAUGAAGGGGCAGUACGUGCUCCUUCUUAAUUUUCUAUAAUUUUAACAUUCUGCAUAGCAUGUUAAAUAAUUUAAUUUUCGGAUGAACUGAAAAUAGUGGUAACAAAGGGACUAACCUUUCCUUCCAUAAUAGAAAUACAAGAAUUUGUGGUUCCUAAGUCAAUUCCAAUUACCUCAUUGCCGGGCGAAACACAUCUGAAAGUUCUGUCUCAGCGGGUAUUUUUAAAUAUCUGGAAAGAAUCAAGAAACUCAAAGUAUGUACUACUUGAGACGUAAAUAAAAAAAAUACAGGAGAAGGAUCUGAAAUCCAAAACAUCACGGCUCAUAGCUCGAAGUAUAACUAAAGCUGACUGAUCAAAGAAAGAAAGAAGAGCUCCGCCUCAAACAGAAGCCGAAUGAUAAAAGAAAGAAAAAAAAAACACCAUAACAGAAUCCCCUAAACCCUCAUGGCUGGAAGGAUCACAGAAGCCGAACGAUAUAAUCUUGGGGUUCCUAAAAUGCCUAGUCCAGGCUCAGGUGUAUCUUCCAGAGGUAGAUCUUGCUGUGGUUAAUGCCACAACAACAAUCAACUGGACAUGCUUUCUCUGGAUGGUCCUAAUGAAAUUGGAGAAGUGUCAUCUCCGGUCGCUGACAACUCAUGGGCAAAUUUUUAGUGUAUAUAUAUUUUCAUAUCCGUGGGACCGAUAUUAUGGGGCUGUUAAUGUAGUGUAUUUAUAGUUUUUUUAGUGUUUAUUUUUUGGUAUCUACAAAUAUUGAAAGGAAAUGAGUAUUUUUUUCCACUCCAUUUUCUAAAACAUUUUCCAUCUUUAGGGGACUCAUUAGGUAAUAAUUCAUAUCAUCAAUUAUUGAUGGUGAUUCUUUUGUUUUUAUAGUUUAGUCUUUGUGAGGGUCUUCUGCAAACUUUCAUAUAUUGUUAAUUGAUUAUUGACAUGUUGAUC